Molecule: ribosomal RNA, 607 nt
Filed under: uncultured bacterium
Lineage: Bacteria
Description: bacterial SSU rRNA
Rfam family: Bacterial small subunit ribosomal RNA
Source: RNAcentral
CCUACGGGAGGCAGCAGUGGGGAAUAUUGCACAAUGGGCGAAAGCCUGAUGCAGCGACGCCGCGUGAGGGAUGACGGCCUUCGGGUUGUAAACCUCUUUCAGCAGGGAAGAAGCGAAAGUGACGGUACCUGCAGAAGAAGCGCCGGCUAACUACGUGCCAGCAGCCGCGGUAAUACGUAGGGCGCAAGCGUUGUCCGGAAUUAUUGGGCGUAAAGAGCUCGUAGGCGGCUUGUCACGUCGGGUGUGAAAGCCCGGAGCUUAACCCCGGGUCUGCAUUCGAUACGGGCUAGCUAGAGUGUGGUAGGGGAGAUCGGAAUUCCUGGUGUAGCGGUGAAAUGCGCAGAUAUCAGGAGGAACACCGGUGGCGAAGGCGGAUCUCUGGGCCAUUACUGACGCUGAGGAGCGAAAGCGUGGGGAGCGAACAGGAUUAGAUACCCUGGUAGUCCACGCCGUAAACGGUGGGAACUAGGUGUUGGCGACAUUCCACGUCGUCGGUGCCGCAGCUAACGCAUUAAGUUCCCGCCUGGGGAGUACGGCCGCAAGGCUAAAACGUCAAAGGAAUUGACGGCUUGGUAGACGUUGCCGACGGCGACGACGAGGGAGGAGG